RNAcentral lists this ribosomal RNA (197 nucleotides) under Necrosciinae sp. 2 SB-2021. Its description in RNAcentral is "partial small subunit ribosomal RNA". The record is from RNAcentral. Lineage: Eukaryota; Metazoa; Arthropoda; Insecta; Phasmatodea; Lonchodidae.
CCUCGUUUUAUCUUACUUGGUUUUGUUUUCAGCAUGUAUAUCGCUGUUAUAAGCUUAUUUUUCUAAAAUAAUAAUUUGCUUUUUUUGUUAUUAUAAUAUAUUUCAAGUCAAGGUGCAGCUAAUAAUUAAGGNGAGGUGAGUUACAAUAUUAUUUGAAUAUAUGGAUUUCAUUUUAAAUAUUUAAAUGAAGGUGGAUU